Molecule: ribosomal RNA, 1797 nt
Filed under: Triticum aestivum (bread wheat)
Lineage: Eukaryota; Viridiplantae; Streptophyta; Magnoliopsida; Poales; Poaceae
Description: partial small subunit ribosomal RNA
Source: RNAcentral
AUGGCCAGCUCCGACGCCGUGUCCGUCGUCCCCGCGCCUGACGCCGCCGCCGCCGCCCCCGCGCUGCCGGCGGUCGCCAAGAAGCGGGGCAGCUACAACUGCGGCCGCUGCGGGCUCCCCAAGAAGGGCCACGUCUGCUCCAUCCCCGGCCCACCUGCCGCCGGGGCUGGGACGGCGGCGGCGGCCCCGGAGCACAAGCCGAGGCGCGCGCUCCACUUCGACGAGGCGGCGGCGGCGGGCGCGCUGGACGUGAUGCCGGUGGCGGCGGCGUAUCCGGCCCCGCACCGCCCCCCGGAGAAGAAGCCGAGGGUGGAUGUGGUGGACGUGGAUGAUUCGGAGCCGGAGUCGGGCGGUGUCGGGAGGCCGGGGUUGGUGGCCGUCGGCUCCGGCGUGCGGGUGCCGGGGGAGGUGGUCAUUGAGGUGCUCCGGCGGCUUGCCCCGAGGGCAGUCGCGGCGUCCGCGGCCGUCAGCCGCGGGUGGCGUGACUGCGCGAGGCGGGUCUGGUGGGGGGCCGAGGAGCUCCGCCUCCGCGCUGCCGGCGUUAGCACCAUCGGGACGCUGCUGCCGCGGUGCCCCGCGCUGUCCAGGCUCGUGCUCCGCAUGGAAAGUGAUGUUGAUGCCACAAUGCUUGCAUGCCUUGCAUUUUCCUGCCCAAACAUGCAAUCUCUGGAGAUAAGCAUGGCUGAUAGUGCAGUCAACCGGAUGACCGGGGAUGAGCUUACUAGAUUUAUUUCGGAGAAGAAGUCUCUGACAGUUCUUAAAGUAGAUCGCUGUAGUGGUCUUGGUUUUCUUAAUAUAAACUCUACAAGCCUUUCAACCCUUUGGCUAUCAGAUCUCUCUUCCAUCACAAAAUAUGUCAUAAACUGUCCUAAUUUGAGUGAGCUCUCACUGAUUUUUUCCCAACAAGAUAAUGAUUCUACCGAUCUGAUUAGUAUGAUGGAUAGUCUGGGCCGCACCUGCUUGAAUUUGAGAAAAUUGCACAUAUCCUCAAUUCACUUGUGCAAUGAAGCUGUGUUUGCUCUUGGGAGUGCUAAUCUCAGGGGCUUGUGCAUGCUGUCCUUGCUUCUAGGUAAAAAAAUAACAGAUGCAGCUGUUGCAUCUAUUGUUCGUUCUUUUACAAGCUUGGAGUUGCUUGAUUUAAGCGGAUCUUGUAUCACUGAUAAUGGGCUUGGGAUGAUCAGCAAGGCAUUCCCUGAUACCCUAACCAGGCUGCUGCUUGCUAUGUGCCCAAAUAUCACCUCAUGUGGGGUCCAGGUGGCCGCAGUGCAGUUGCCACUUCUUCAGCUCAUGGACUGCGGCAAGAGCUUAUGUGCUAAUGUGCAGCCCGAAGCACCCCGAUCAUACUUUGGUGAUCUCAAUGGGGGGAUUAGGUUUUGCUCAAAACUACAGGUCACAAGGAAGCAGCAACCAACUUACCAAAAGUUGAUUAUAAAGCAUGCUAAUCUGAAAAAACUUAGUCUAUGGGGCUGUUCUGCAAUAGAUGCCCUAUAUGUAAAUUGUCCAGAGCUGAGUGAUCUGAACCUCAACUCUUGCAUAAAUCUGAAUCCAGAACGGUUGCUUCUUCAGUGUCCAAGCUUGAAAGAUGUUCAUGUCACUGGAUGCCGUGACAUGUUGAUCGGAGCAAUCAGAAACCAGGUUCUGAAUGAGUUUGCAGCAGGAGAGCCUCGCAUGCCUUGCAAGCGCCUUGCUGAUGGCUCGAAGCGGGUGCAAGUCCCUCAGUUCAUGCCAGAACAGCAGUUUGAGGACGAGAAAUGGUGCGGCGAGUCGCGGCGAAGCCAGUGCGCCGUGCACAUCUGA